This is a small nuclear RNA of Camelus dromedarius (Arabian camel), 99 nucleotides long. The record is from Ensembl. NCBI's taxonomy places the organism in Eukaryota, Metazoa, Chordata, Mammalia, Artiodactyla, Camelidae.
CUGCUUUAGCAGCACAUGUACUAAAACUGGAAUGAUAGAAGAUUAGCUUUGCCCCUGACAAAGGGUGACACACAGAUUUAUGAUGCAUUCCAUAUUUUU